Anguilla anguilla (European eel) is the source of this 685-nucleotide long non-coding RNA. RefSeq lists it as uncharacterized. The transcript has 2 exons. The record is from RefSeq and is a predicted model, not a curated record. NCBI's taxonomy places the organism in Eukaryota, Metazoa, Chordata, Actinopteri, Anguilliformes, Anguillidae.
AAGUAAAGUCUUUUGUUCUUACCUUUUGGAGUUUUAGUUUUCCCCCUCUGCAUUUGGGUCCUAACCCCCCAUGCACCCUGACAAUUACAGCCCAAAUAUAUUGGAGAGAGAGAAUGUUCAAUAUCCCUGCCCCAGCCAAUGGGAAAGAGUAGCCUGGUCAUGUGCUCCUGACAUGUGACUUACUGUACGGCUUUAGGCAUCUGACAGGGCCGAGGCUGGUAUUCAACCAACAUUCUUAAAAUCGGUUAAUUCUUGCUAACAGCUAAAAGCAAUAAUUCUGUUGUCCUACACAAACACAGUUUGCUGAGUUCAGCAAUCACUAAAAUUGGUUUUGGUUUGCAGUUGAAGACAGGAUGAAAUAAAUCUUUUUUUUUGUUUGUUUGUUUUUUUGUUUUUAUUAAUGGAAAUGUGAGUUCUAGAAACCGAGGGAUAAAAUGUUUCAGACGGAGAACUGGAGGGAAACUGUUACUGUGUGUCUUCAUUACGAUCAAACCCUCGGAGACAAGCCGUAACAUACAUAACACACUCAUCCCUUGGGUUUGAUGUGGGAAGAAUCCAGCUGGGUUUGAGGCUGGAAUGAUGGGUAGAAGAACGCCGGUAGUCACAUGACCCUUGGAAUGCACUGCAUCCAAUGUACUUCCGGUCUUGUAACAGCAGUGCCUUUUACUGACUUUAUUUGACUAUU